UACGUAGGGUGCGAGCGUUGUCCGGAAUUAUUGGGCGUAAAGAGCUCGUAGGCGGUCUGUUGCGUCGGAUGUGAAAACCCGGGGCUCAACCCCGAGCCUGCAUUCGAUACGGGCAGACUAGAGUUCGGUAGGGGAGUCUGGAAUUCCUGGUGUAGCGGUGAAAUGCGCAGAUAUCAGGAGGAACACCGGUGGCGAAGGCGGGACUCUGGGCCGAUACUGACGCUGAGGAGCGAAAGCGUGGGGAGCGAACAGG
Molecule: ribosomal RNA, 253 nt
Filed under: uncultured bacterium
Lineage: Bacteria
Description: partial 16S ribosomal RNA
Rfam family: Bacterial small subunit ribosomal RNA
Source: RNAcentral